RNAcentral lists this ribosomal RNA (529 nucleotides) under uncultured marine bacterium. RNAcentral describes it as "bacterial SSU rRNA". It matches the Rfam family "Bacterial small subunit ribosomal RNA", at positions 59 to 582 of the family's 1533-position model. The record is from RNAcentral.
AAGUCGUGCGAGAAAGUACCUUCGGGUGCGAGUAGAGCGGCGGACGGGUGAGUAACGCGUAGGAAUCUACCUAGUAGAAGGGGAUAGCCCGGGGAAACUCGGAUUAAUACCGUAUACCUCCUCAGGGAGAAAGAGGGCUUAGCUUUGAUGCUCUCGCUAUUAGAUGAGCCUGCGUAAGAUUAGCUUGUUGGUGAGGUAAUGGCUCACCAAGGCGACGAUCUUUAGCUGGUCUGAGAGGACGAUCAGCCACAUUGGGACUGAGACACGGCCCAGACUCCUACGGGAGGCAGCAGUGGGGAAUAUUGGACAAUGGGCGCAAGCCUGAUCCAGCCAUACCGCGUGUGUGAAGAAGGCUUUCGGGUUGUAAAGCACUUUAAGUAAGGAGAAAAAGAUUGUAGUUAAUACCUGCAAUCCGUGAUGUCACUUACAGAAUAAGGACCGGCUAAUUCCGUGCCAGCAGCCGCGGUAAUACGGAAGGUCCAAGCGUUAAUCGGGAAUUACUGGGCGUAAAGCGCGCGUAGGUGGUUUU